AGUAGAGAGUAGAGAGUAGAGAAGUAGGAGUAGAGAGUAGAGAGUAGAGUGUAGGGAGUAGAGAGUAGAGAGUAGAGAGUAGAGAGUAGAGAGUAAGGAGUAGAGAGUAGAGAGUAGAGAGUAGGAAGUAGAGAGUAGAGAGUAGAGAGUAGGGAGUAGGGAGUAGAGAGGAGAGAGUAGAGAGUAGGGAGUAGAGAGUAAGGAGUAGAGAGUAAGGAGUAGAGAGUAAGGAGUAGAGAGUAGAGAGUAGGGAGUAAAGAGUAGCGAGUAGGGAGUAGAGAGUAGGGAGUAGAGAGUAGAGAGUAGGGAGUAGAGAGUAAGGAGUAGAGAGUAGAGAGUAGAGAGUAGGGAGUAGAGAGUAGGGAGUAGAGAGUAGGGAGUAGAGUAGAGAGUAAGGAGUAGAGCGUAAGGAGUAGAGAGUAGGGAGUAGAGAGUAGGGAGUAGAGAGUAGGGAGUAGAGAGUAGAGAGUAGGGAGUAGAGAGUAAGGAGUAGAGAGUAGAGAGUAGCAGUAUUGGUUCCUUGUUUUCCAUGUUGUUCUACCUUUCUCCCAGGCCAUGCCUCAUGCCUCAUGCCUCAUGCCUCAUGCCUCAUGCCUCAUGUCUCAGCCAUCUGAGUACUGUAUCCGCUGUCUCUGACUGGUGCAGACGAGGAGAGAGAUGAUCUCUCCUGUGUAUUAGACCGUUUUACACUGACCUUGUCCUGGUCUGUCCUGGUCAGCUCGUGUCCUCUGCCCAGUAACUCAGUGGUAACUAGGUCAGCCCAGGAACCAGUGUGUCUGGCCUCAUCCCUCUCUUCUCCUCCUCAAAUGGAUGGAGUGUCUGAGGACCCCCUCCUCCUCCUCCUCC
Long non-coding RNA from Oncorhynchus tshawytscha (Chinook salmon), 846 nucleotides. Lineage: Eukaryota; Metazoa; Chordata; Actinopteri; Salmoniformes; Salmonidae. The record is from Ensembl.